This 170-nucleotide small RNA is filed under the name Halanaerobium hydrogeniformans. RNAcentral's name for it is "Magnesium sequence". It matches the Rfam family "M-box riboswitch aptamer (ykoK leader)". From Rfam's summary of the family: M-box riboswitch, also know as ykoK leader is described as a metaloregulatory RNA that sense divalent metals and function as a genetic control element of genes related to divalent metal transport in bacteria. It was first reported upstream of the B.subtilis ykoK gene and genes with related functions in other bacteria. Phylogenetic analysis of the distribution of M-box RNAs across bacterial genomes revealed that M-box riboswitches are most often employed for the regulation of Mg2+ transporter genes Lineage: Bacteria; Bacillati; Bacillota; Clostridia; Halanaerobiales; Halanaerobiaceae. The record is from Rfam by way of RNAcentral.
AUAUCCAAUUGUUGAGUGAGGCUCCUGUAUGGAGAUAAGCUAUUGCCCAGAAAUGUCCAGAGACACCAAUGGGUAGAACAGAUAGCAGACCGAAUUAAGGCCUAUCUAAGAUAGCUGACUAAUAUAGUCUAUGUCAUACAGUGCUAAAGCUUAGACGAGGAGUUGGGUGC